Molecule: ribosomal RNA, 232 nt
Filed under: Pseudomonas sp. 102515
Lineage: Bacteria; Pseudomonadati; Pseudomonadota; Gammaproteobacteria; Pseudomonadales; Pseudomonadaceae
Description: partial 23S ribosomal RNA
Rfam family: Bacterial large subunit ribosomal RNA
Source: RNAcentral
UACUCCUGACUGACCGAUAGUGAACCAGUACCGUGAGGGAAAGGCGAAAAGAACCCCGGAGAGGGGAGUGAAAUAGAACCUGAAACCGUAUGCGUACAAGCAGUGGGAGCCUACUUUGUUAGGUGACUGCGUACCUUUUGUAUAAUGGGUCAGCGACUUAUUUUCAGUGGCGAGCUUAACCGAAUAGGGGAGGCGUAGCGAAAGCGAGUCUUAAUAGGGCGUUUAGUCGCUG